GAUCUAUUGGUUGAACAACUCAAUUUCUUGGAUGCUAGUUAUUAUCCAUGGUCUCUGCUGCGCACAGUGGUAAAGUCCUACACAACUGCAGUUCUAAAAACUGACAUCUAUAAGGACCUAUCAAAAAUUAGUUUAUUUUUCAUUAUUUUUAGAUAUUAAAAUCCUUUCAUCUCCAGUAUCUGCCUUUUAGCCAUUUCUCUAGCACAGAGUCUGGAAUAUAAUUGGAACCCUAUAAAUAUCUGUUGGAUAAAAGAACAUUGUUAAUUUCCCUCAGAAAGUCACACCAUCAUAGGAGAUUUAGCAAUCAUUAUUGACAAAAGAAUCAAAACUCAUGGCUCCUUUUAUUUACCCCACACUCUUUUGGUCAUGCUUGUCCUCAACACAUUGAGGGAGAAUAAACCAAGUCCGGAGAUGCAGCAAGGCCAGGGAGCAGGGUCUUGUGAACUCUGCUAAGGAGUUUGGGCUGAUAUCUAGGAGUCAUGGAGAGCUUCAGACCUGGAGGGUGUUAAGCAAGGAAGCUUAAGAAGGUCAGGAAGCAAGGAAGGUCAGAAUUGUGGUGGUUGAGAGAGGCCACUCGGGGUCUGUAUGAAGGAUGGAUGGAUGGAUGGAUGGAUGGAUGGAUGGAUGGAUGGAUGGAUGGAUGGAUGAAUGGGGUAGAGAGACACUGGUUAAAUAGCUACUGAAAGGUCCGAUGCAGUUGCUCAUGUCUAUAAUCCAAGCACUUUGGGAGCCCAAGAUGGGAGGAUCACUUGAGCCCAGGAGUUUGAGACCAGCCUGGGCAACAUAGCGACAUUCCAUCUCUACAAAAAAACAAACAAAAAUUAGCCAGGUGUGGUGGUGCACACCUGUAGUCCUAGCUACUUGGGAGGCUGAAGCAGGAGAAUCACUUGGGCCUAGGAGUUUGAGGUUAUGGUAUGCUGGGAUCAUGCCACUGCACUCCAGCAUGGGCAACAUAAUGAGACUGUCUCUCAAAAAAAAAAAAAAAAUACUGAAAUCCAAGUAAAAAGGAGAUGGUGGUCUAAACCAAGAUAAUGGCAGAGGAGAUGGAGAGAACAGAUUCAAUAGACCUUUGUAAGGCUGAGCUGAAAGAACCGAGUGACUGACUGCAGGUGAUUUAGCAAGAAGGAAGCCAAUUUUAGACAUAUUAGAUUUGAGGCUUUUCACCUAUAGAAGAUUCUAGCAAAAGCAUGCUAGUUGCAAUUUAAGAUAUAGAUCUGAAGGUCAAAAAAGAAUUAGGAUGGAAAUAUACCUUUUUGGAUUUUAUUCCAGAUCAGUAUUUUAUUUUUUUUACAUAUAUUGAAAUCUCAAGGUAAAAAGUUGAAUACAGUUAAGACCAAAGGCUUAUUCUUAGAUUUCUGAGCUUGAAAUAUACUAUUGCCUAUUAGAAAACCAAAUGGCUAUAAAAGGUAUUUAUAUUUUCUUUAGAUAUUUAGACACUUAAUACCAUCUUCAGCAUUAGAGUUAUUUAAUGGGUUAGGAAUAAAAAUGCAUGAUCUUUGACUUUCUUCUCUGGGUGAAGUACAUUUAGAAGACUGCUCCUAUUGGUUCUAUAAAUAUGCCAGGGGAGCUCAUGUAAGAAUAGGUACUUCUCAAUAUGCCAGCAUUCAUGCCCAUGUAGUAAUUAGUAGUUUAGGUGGAUAAACUCCAAUGUAUCUGGUGGGCUCUGACACACUCUCCUGAAUACCGCCCUCCUUUUGCAUCCUCAAAUGGCAUGGCACACCCCAUAGUCUUAGUCCACCAGACAAAUCCUCUAAGUGCCCCUCUUCAUAUUUGUGAAAGGAAGGUAUUUUUUUUAAAACAUUUGGUGAAGCUGCUUAUAGUUGUAGUUGGGAAAGUGGGCUUACUAGCUAUAUGAUCUUGAGCAAGUUAUUAUUUCAUCUUUUUGACCUUGGUUGCCUCAUCUGAAAAAUAGAAAUGGUAACAGUACUUACCUCUUGGAUUUAUGAAUUUUAGUUAUGCAAAAGUACUUCAGAGCAGUGCCUGCGGCAUAUUGUGUGUACUCAAUCAGUAUCUGUUAUUACUAAAUACUUCUGUUGAAGACAAAAUUUUCUUUCUCUUAAGCUCAACAUCACUACUGAUGGAAAAUCUUGGAAAUAAUUAUUUCAGAUCAGGUUUUCCAACCAGGAACAGGAUUUCAUAUUUGAGAUAUAACAUCUAAUGCUAGCCCCUCUCUGAGAACUCCUAGGGGAUCUGAAAAAGGUCAUUGUAGGAUGGAAUCUUACUAAGCAAAGUUAAGAAUGAUAAGGUAAACUGUUAGGAAAAGGAUUUCCAUAUGACUAGGGGAUUAGGGCCACAGCAGCAAGAGUUAAUAUCUGAAGUUUACUGAAGUAACAGUUCUACAGCCCUAACUGGCAUGUACCCAUCAAAAAUGUGGAGAUGUAAGAGAGUUUAAAAAUAAAAGCAUAAAUUAAAUUUAAGUAGUGAG
Molecule: long non-coding RNA, 2425 nt
Filed under: Homo sapiens (human)
Lineage: Eukaryota; Metazoa; Chordata; Mammalia; Primates; Hominidae
Description: HSALNT0109760
Source: RNAcentral